GACGAACGCUGUCGGCGUGCUUAACACAUGCAAGUCGAACGGAAAGGCCCUGCUUUUGUGGGGUGCUCGAGUGGCGAACGGGUGAGUAACACGUGAGUAACCUGCCCUUGACUUUGGGAUAACUUCAGGAAACUGGGGCUAAUACCGGAUAGGAGCUCCUGCUGCAUGGUGGGGGUUGGAAAGUUUCGGCGGUUGGGGAUGGACUCGCGGCUUAUCAGCUUGUUGGUGGGGUAGUGGCUUACCAAGGCUUUGACGGGUAGCCGGCCUGAGAGGGUGACCGGCCACAUUGGGACUGAGAUACGGCCCAGACUCCUACGGGAGGCAGCAGUGGGGAAUAUUGCACAAUGGGCGGAAGCCUGAUGCAGCAACGCCGCGUGCGGGAUGACGGCCUUCGGGUUGUAAACCGCUUUCGCCUGUGACGAAGCGUGAGUGACGGUAAUGGGUAAAGAAGCACCGGCUAACUACGUGCCAGCAGCCGCGGUGAUACGUAGGGUGCGAGCGUUGUCCGGAUUUAUUGGGCGUAAAGGGCUCGUAGGUGGUUGAUCGCGUCGGAAGUGUAAUCUUGGGGCUUAACCCUGAGCGUGCUUUCGAUACGGGUUGACUUGAGGAAGGUAGGGGAGAAUGGAAUUCCUGGUGGAGCGGUGGAAUGCGCAGAUAUCAGGAGGAACACCAGUGGCGAAGGCGGUUCUCUGGGCCUUUCCUGACGCUGAGGAGCGAAAGCGUGGGGAGCGAACAGGCUUAGAUACCCUGGUAGUCCACGCUGUAAACGGUGGGUACUAGGUGUGGGGUCCAUUCCACGGGUUCCGUGCCGUAGCUAACGCUUUAAAUACCCCGCCUGGGGAGUACGGCCGCAAGGCUAAAACUCAAAGGAAUUGACGGGGCCCCGCACAAGCGGCGGAGCAUGCGGAUUAAUUCGAUGCAACGCGUAGAACCUUACCUGGGUUUGACAUGGAUCGGGAGUGCUCAGAGAUGGGUGUGCCUCUUUUGGGGUCGGUUCACAGGUGGUGCAUGGCUGUCGUCAGCUCGUGUCGUGAGAUGUUGGGUUAAGUCCCGCAACGAGCGCAACCCUUGUUCACUGUUGCCAGCACGUUAUGGUGGGGACUCAGUGGAGACCGCCGGGGUCAACUCGGAGGAAGGUGGGGAUGACGUCAAGUCAUCAUGCCCCUUAUGUCCAGGGCUUCACGCAUGCUACAAUGGCUGGUACAGAGAGUGGCGAGCCUGUGAGGGUGAGCGAAUCUCGGAAAGCCGGUCUCAGUUCGGAUUGGGGUCUGCAACUCGACCUCAUGAAGUCGGAGUCGCUAGUAAUCGCAGAUCAGCAACGCUGCGGUGAAUACGUUCCCGGGGCU
RNAcentral lists this ribosomal RNA (1346 nucleotides) under uncultured bacterium. RNAcentral's name for it is "partial 16S ribosomal RNA". It matches the Rfam family "Bacterial small subunit ribosomal RNA", at positions 28 to 1381 of the family's 1533-position model. The record is from RNAcentral.